RNAcentral lists this ribosomal RNA (482 nucleotides) under uncultured bacterium. RNAcentral's name for it is "partial 16S ribosomal RNA". It matches the Rfam family "Bacterial small subunit ribosomal RNA", at positions 29 to 523 of the family's 1533-position model. The record is from RNAcentral.
AAUGAACGUUGGCGGCGUGGAUUGGGCAUGCAAGUCGUGCGCUAAUCGUAGCAAUACGAGGAGAGCGGCGAAAGGGAGAGGAUAGCAUAGAUACCUACCCUCGGACCUGGGAUAGCUAUGGGAAACUAUAGGUAAUACCAGAUAAUGUCUCCGGACCAAAGGUGUGAUUCCGUCCGGGGAGGGGUCUAUGUCCUAUUAGCGUGUUGGUGAGGUAACGGCUCACCAAGGCAAAGAUGGGUACGAGGCGUGAGAGCGUGUCCUCGCUCACUGGGACUGAGACCCUGCCCAGACACCUACGGGUGGCUGCAGUCGAGAAUCUUCGGCAAUGGGCGCAAGCCUGACCGAGCGACGCCGCGUGUGGGAUGAAGGCCUUCGGGUUGUAAACCACUGUCAGUGCGGAGGAAAUAUAGUGGGGUUCCCCCCAUUAUUUGACCUAUGCGCAGAGGAAGGACGGGCUAAGUUCGUGCCAGCCGCCGCGGUAA